Molecule: ribosomal RNA, 257 nt
Filed under: uncultured bacterium
Lineage: Bacteria
Description: partial 16S ribosomal RNA
Rfam family: Bacterial small subunit ribosomal RNA
Source: RNAcentral
GUCCACGCCUAACGAUGUCAACUGGUUGUUGGACGGCUUGCUGUUCAGUAACGAAGCUAACGCGUGAAGUUGACCGCCUGGGAGUACGGCCGCAAGGUUGAACUCAAAGGAAUUGACGGGACCCGCACAAGCGGUGGAUGAUGUGGUUUAAUUCGAUGCAACGCGAAACCUUACCUACCCUUGACAUGUCUGGAAUCCUGAAGAGAUUUGGGAGUGCUCGAAAGAGAACCAGAACACAGGUGCUGCAUGGCCGUCGU